CAAAGCUUCAUUUGAGCCGAGUCACUGUGUGAUCAGUAUGUUUUGUUUUUUUUUGUUUUUUUUGGGGUAGUUUUUGUGCAUAUGGUGUGCAGAGACAUCUUCAGCCUCAUUAUCAAACCCACACUGCAACUGAGCCUCACAAUUCUGCAGUUAUUCCAGAUGAUUUCCACUCUAGAUGGGUUUAGCUGUGGACUUUCUAGAUCAAUACUGAGGAUUCUUACUGGAGUCUUUCUUAUCAGCUGCAUUCUAACCGAGAGAGAAACAGAUCGGCAAAGACAUUGUCACGGUUGCCUUCUGUGACAAGACGAAGAACGAGGAGAUGAGGAUAAACUCAAAACGACAGUCUUUAAUAAACUAUCCAAAGAGUGUUAAUUGGCGAUGGGCAAGCCAACUUUUGGUGCAUUACCUCCACCAACUGAACUGGAGUGUGGAGUGACAAUGAGGAUUCCCGUGUCUAUUAGAUAACCAUUCUUCAAAAAUCACCUGAGUUGGAUGUUUACUAUUGUGGCCUUUUGGACACGGGUCGUUGAAAGACACAGGGCUUAAAUAAUCAGAACAUAACAAGGAUAUGAACAAGACACAGCUGGAAUCAAAUCAACACAUUGAGCACAGGAACGGGAAUAACCAAAUAAGGGCAUAAUAAACAUGGAGCACAUGGGGGGAGGAAAACAACACAAGACAGGAGCAGAAUCUGACAAUUGUCAAGUCAGUUAGAUAAUGCUGUUGUCAAAUACUCAAGAUCACAUGCUAAGUUCAAACCAUGUUCUACUUGAAGCUGUUCAUAUCCUUGGACCGGGAACUGUGCUUUUCUAUGGCAACACUAGCAAAGCCUACGAAUCUGCAGCAUUCAGGUACAGUAGUCACGUGGUACAAGUAAAAGCUCUCAGAAAAUUCCCAGAUUGCAG
Molecule: long non-coding RNA, 905 nt
Organism: Cyprinus carpio carpio
Lineage: Eukaryota; Metazoa; Chordata; Actinopteri; Cypriniformes; Cyprinidae
Source: Ensembl